CCCGGCGUAGAGCAGCCCGGUAGUUCGCGUGGCUCAACCACGAAAGACCGGGUUCGAUUCCCGGGCCUGCAACCA
RNAcentral lists this transfer RNA (75 nucleotides) under Ensifer meliloti. RNAcentral's name for it is "Sinorhizobium meliloti tRNA-Sec". Lineage: Bacteria; Pseudomonadati; Pseudomonadota; Alphaproteobacteria; Hyphomicrobiales; Rhizobiaceae. The record is from RNAcentral.